GGCCGACCCAGCCUCGAGCCGCCGCGCCGUCGCAGCCGAGCGCACGGCCUCCGGCGGCCCGCUGCGCCCGGAGUGUCCCGCCUCGGGCCGUCACCCACCCGCGGCUCGCGAACGCGGGAGAGGAGCUGGGCAGGCGCUGUCCAGCCCGUGGCCGGGCACAGCCGUGAGGGGUGAGGCGCGGAGACGUCCUGGCGGCCACCAUGGUGGCCACGUGCCUGCAGGUGGUGGGCUUCGUCACGAGCUUCGUGGGCUGGAUCGGCAUCAUCGUGACCACGUCCACCAACGACUGGGUGGUGACCUGCGGCUACACCAUCCCCACGUGCCGCAAGCUGGACGAGCUGGGCUCCAAGGGGCUGUGGGCCGACUGCGUCAUGGCCACGGGGCUCUACCACUGCAAACCGCUGGUGGACAUCCUCAUCCUGCCGGGUAAGUCCCCAAACCCUGCAAGCGGCUGCUCCUCCCUGGUCCUCUGGGCAGACCGGAGCGGAGGGGACUAGACGGAGUUCACAGAGACUUGUGGGAGCGCAGAGACCUUUGGGCACGCUUUUGACACCUCUAGCCCCC
Molecule: RNA transcript, 564 nt
Organism: Carlito syrichta (Philippine tarsier)
Lineage: Eukaryota; Metazoa; Chordata; Mammalia; Primates; Tarsiidae
Gene name: claudin-11 pseudogene
Exons: 1
Source: RefSeq, a predicted model, not a curated record